AUGGCGAGGUCCAUCCGAACGAAUAGGUUCAGCUGGGCACCUUAUGGACAGUUCUCAACUAUGUCCAACUUGACAAUGCUAUACCGGAUGUGUUUCAAUGUUCCGGUGGCACGCAUUGUGUUGGUCGUAUUCGUGUCCUUCUGUGCUGGAUACCUCACUCAGCUUUGCCAAUCUAGCCUGAGUUCCUCUGCAAGGCAAUUCUUACUAAGUUCGUUGUGUGAAAUUUACAGGAGUUAUUUGAAGAAUGGACUCACUAUGCAGCUAGAUGUUCCAAUUGGAUGCCCUUGCAAGAAGUAUUGCUGUGGUGGGUACAGCGCCACGGCCCCUCCCGCAUCAACACGCUGGUCCUCCAUAUGCAAAGUUGCUACUUCAAAGACGCACACAGUCCACCCAUAUGAUGCUUCUAGCUCUUCAGAUUUUACACCAUCGCUCCAUGUGGGAGGAGAAAUUGCUAUUGUUAUUCUGGUGAAAGCUGCAUUGGAGAAGAGUACGUGCAAAAGCAAUCAUGAUGCACGGUGGCAUAGCAGGAGUAGAAAAAGUGCAGCUCAAAGUGAGUGCACCUGUAUAAUUUCCUAG
This 576-nucleotide ribosomal RNA is filed under the name Triticum aestivum (bread wheat). RNAcentral describes it as "partial small subunit ribosomal RNA". The record is from RNAcentral. Lineage: Eukaryota; Viridiplantae; Streptophyta; Magnoliopsida; Poales; Poaceae.